CUCUGCUGCCUCGUUCAACUGCAAUUGUGAUGUGCCUGAUUGUGUCAGGUCAAAGCUUGUGUUCGCAUUAUACUGCUGGCAGCUUGGGCCAACAACAGCACAAUGAUUGUACAAAUUAACUUCCAUUGAGGACUGCUCUAGCAAGGUACUUUCAGUAUCUUCCUCUUGUACAAGCUGAUCCAAUGCAUAGUCAUUAUCUACAAAGAAAGUGCUCUAGCAAGGUACUUUCAGUAUCUUCCGCUUGUACAAACUGAUCCAAUGCGUAGUUGUUAUCUACAAAGAAAGGCUCAAGAAGCACAGGCUCAUCAUCUGCAAUAUGUUUCAGCAGUUCCUCAAGUGCAUCAGCAGCAGCAGCUGGAACUUCAUUAACGUGCUUUGUGGAAUUCUCCUGCUGAACAGAGACUUCGGCUACCGGAUACUCAUCAUCAGCCCAGUCCUCCUCUCUAAAAUAUGCACCAUAUUGCUCACCAUUCUUGGGGCCAGGCCCGCUCUUCUUAAAGACCUUGUAAAGUGCAUAGUAGUCCUGUGCAUUCUCGCAUCUUUUCAGCUCUUCUUCAUCCAUGGUAUAUUCAUGCAUCACCCAAUCUGUCCUUUCACCUAUAGGUGCUCGGCCUUUAUAAAAGACAAGUGUCUUCUUGACUCCAACUGCACGAGAGUUGCAUGUAAUAAUACGAUCCCUUCCAGUAGCUUUCCAAUACCCGUGCUUUGUUGCCCUGUUUGACCGUGCUCCGUUGGGAUACUUUCGAUCUCUGGGACUAAAGAAGAACCACUGCCUGUCUCCAGUUUUUAACUUGGACAAAUCUGCAAUUCAAAUUUGCAAAAGCAAACAGUCAGUUAAGAGUUCAGAAGAUUCAAAGAUGGUCAUGAAAGUAAAUCACCCCAAAUAUGAGUAUCAAUCAGCAACAAUUAGUUUCAGACAAUUGAAGACAAUAAAAUAUUGUAUGAAAUUCAAGUUAGGGAGCAUGCCAAGAGAGGAAAAGCCAUCAAACAAACAAAGAGAAGCAUGAGGACUUUAGAAUACAAUAGCUAUACAUGGAACAAGAUUAUUUCCAUUAAUGUUGAAGAAUCAUAAAUAUACUCAUGUGCGUGUCAAAUACUGAUAAUGAUACAUCAUUUUUUUCUCAAAAUUAAACUACUGAGAGCUUAUAUAUGCCCUCGAUCUCCAUUCUUAUUCGUACCUCAGUUAACACAAACUUUGAUCACAAUAUACACAAAAAACACAUGACUCUAAAUAGAACCUAUCCCCCCCNNNNNNNNNNNNNNNNNNNNNNNNNNNNNNNNNNNNNNNNNNNNNNNNNNNNNNNNNNNNNNNNNNNNNNNNNNNNCAAAAGACCUGGGCCAAAACCAAAACCAAAAAAAAAACGCAGUAAACCUUUAAUAGAAACUCAGAGUUAAGCAAAAACCCAUCUUUAUGACAAAUCUACUUCACCCCAAAUGAAUAUUUGUCAAGCAAACAAACACAUUAGAGCCAUGAUGACUAAUAUUCCUUGCACAAUGCACAACACAUAAACAUCACAUAUAAUCCUUCAACCAGUACACACCUUCAUCCACAGAGAGAAUUAAGAACGCAAAAAGGGUAAAACCAUGCCAACAAUAAAGUCAACAACAAAAAUACUCCAGAAAGAAAACAAUACAAGUACACAACACCCAGUUAAAUCACAAUCCUCAAAAACAAAAUCACAAACACAACAAAACAACACAUUUCACACGCCAAACAAAAAACAGUCACUCACAUGAUCGAAUCAAGUCAACUCCUCAAACAACACAUACAAAUCUAAUCUUUUAAAUAACAAUAACAAAAAUCUAAUAUAGUAAGAGAAUAGAUACAUACCAGGCAAAUCCUCAGGGUCCCACUUGUACACGUCAGUCUCAGCAAUAGCAUCAAGCAAGAUCCGGCGCCGACAGAUCUUCCUCUUUAAGUAGUACACAACAAGCUCCUCGUCUGUCGGGUGAAACCUAAACCCAGGUGGAAAAAUACCAGUACUUUCUCCAAAAACCUUAAUCUCUUUA
Molecule: long non-coding RNA, 2010 nt
Filed under: Nicotiana benthamiana
Lineage: Eukaryota; Viridiplantae; Streptophyta; Magnoliopsida; Solanales; Solanaceae
Description: long non-coding RNA (NBEN_LNC004267)
Source: RNAcentral